RNAcentral lists this long non-coding RNA (1238 nucleotides) under Macaca mulatta (Rhesus monkey). Its description in RNAcentral is "lncRNA (ENSMMUG00000064083.1)". Lineage: Eukaryota; Metazoa; Chordata; Mammalia; Primates; Cercopithecidae. The record is from RNAcentral.
UCUUUUGUUAACUUAAAACUUUAUUUCUAGUUUACUUUCAAUCAAAUAUUACUGAUCCAUUUCUGAAGAAGCAUCUGUUAGUGAUUGGUGCUCAGUCUCAGAGCAGUUCUUCACGGGACUGUGACGAUGACAUCCUCCACGUGGUCUCAGAGCAGUUCUUCACUGAACUGUGAGGAUGACGUAGGAUGACAUCCUUUCUGUGGUAUCAGAGCCGUUCACGGAGCUGUGAGGAUGACACCCUUCAUGUGGUCUCAGAGCAGUUCUUCGUGGAGCCGUGAGGAUGACGCCCUUCCCGUGGACUCAGAGCAGUUCUUCGUGGAGCCGUGAGGAUGACGCCCUUCCCGUGGACUCAGAGCAGUUCUUCGUGGAGCCGUGAGGAUGACGCCCUUCCCAGCAUUCUUCGUGGAGCCGUGAGGAUGACGCCCUUCCCGUGGACUCAGAGCAGUUCUUCGUGGAGCCGUGAGGAUGACGUCCUUUCUGUGGUAUCAGAGCCGUUCACGGAGCUGUGAGGAUGACACCCUUCAUGUGGUCUCAGAGCAGUUCUUCUUCUUCGUGGAGCCGUGAGGAUGACGCCCUUCCCGUGGACUCAGAGCAGUUCUUCGUGGAGCCGUGAGGAUGACGCCCUUCACGUGGACUCAGAGCAGUUCUUCGUGGAGCCGUGAGGAUGACGUCCUUCCCGUGGACUCAGAGCAGUUCUUCGUGGAGCCAUGAGGAUGACGUCCUUUCUGUGGUAUCAGAGCCGUUCACGGAGCUGUGAGGAUGACACCCUUCAUGUGGUCUCAGAGCAGUUCUUCGUGGAGCCGUGAGGAUGACGUCCUUCCCGUGGACUCAGAGCAGUUCUUCGUGGAGCUGUGAGGAUGACGUCCUUCCCGUGGACUCAGAGCAGUUCUUCGUGGAGCUGUGAGGAUGACGUCCUUCCCGUGGACUCAGAGCAGUUCUUCGUGGAGCUGUGAGGAUGACGUCCUUUCUGUGGUUUCAGAGCCGUUCAGGGAACUGUGGGGAUGCCGUUUUUCCCACGGUAUCAGAGCAGUUCUUCAUGGAUCUGUGAUGAUGAUGUCCUUCCUUUGGGGGCUUAGUUUCGUCUAGUUGUGUUCCUUGCCACCCUGUUGUUACCUGAGUAUAACCAGUACUGUGACAGGUGGAUUCAUGUCAGUGUUUUGACCAAUACCGUUAAAUCGUUUCAUCUGACCACAUUAACGUUUUUUUGUAAUUCAUCAAAUAAUUGUAAUUCAUAGUCG